GACUUGGGCACUUACAUGUUAAUUUCCUUUUUUUUCUUUUUAAAAUUUAUAUAAAGGUCGUCGAGCCAAUAAAGCCGACUUUUGCUGACCGACACCGCCGGAUUGCUUUAAAAAAGCAACGCUUUCUUCACGUGGAAAUUGACCCCAAGCUCCCCAGAAACAUUCCCGUUGUGCACUUUUCCGGCCCCGAAGCAGAAGUCGUGCAGUUACGGCAAAAGUUUUUUGAAAAUGCCUACGCUUGGCGUGGCGAGGAAAGUCUAUACAAUAACCUUCAGCAAGUAUUGCAGGAGGAGUUACCUUUAAAAUCUUGCGAAAAGGAAGUAAAUCUUAGCAAGGACUGCGGAAUUUGCUACUCAUUCUACCUGGAGAAUGCCGUCCCCGACAAAGUGAGAAAAGCAUAACGUGCUAGUCAGCACCUUGGAAUAAUGCGGUGACUGGCAGAUUUGUGAGUACGCGGGAUGUCGCCAAGCAUUUCACCCACAAUGUCUCUUGGAGUGGUUAAAGACUUCUUCAACGACGCAACGGCGAUUUCAUAUGUUUUUUGGAACGUGUCCUUACUGCGAAAAGCAAAUAAGUCUCAAGAUGUUUUAAAAAGGGAUUGAAUACUCCUAAAAUUCGCCUAAAAAAGGCUAAUAAUACUUUUGGUUGCCCUAAUAACCGUGUUUUAUUUAAGUACUAUGUGGAAUUGUCAGGUCGAAAAGGGACUGCUACUUGAGC
Zophobas morio is the source of this 717-nucleotide long non-coding RNA. RefSeq lists it as uncharacterized. The record is from RefSeq and is a predicted model, not a curated record. Lineage: Eukaryota; Metazoa; Arthropoda; Insecta; Coleoptera; Tenebrionidae. The transcript has 5 exons.